Molecule: ribosomal RNA, 517 nt
Filed under: uncultured bacterium
Lineage: Bacteria
Description: bacterial SSU rRNA
Rfam family: Bacterial small subunit ribosomal RNA
Source: RNAcentral
ACGAACGCUGGCGGCGUGCCUAAUACAUGCAAGUCGAACGGCUUUUCUAUGGAAGCUUGCUUCCACUGAGAAGAUAGUGGCGAACGGGUGAGUAACACGUGGGUAACCUGCCCAUAAGAGGGGGAUAACAUCCGGAAACGGGUGCUAAUACCGCAUAGUUUUCUUGAUCGCAUGAUUGAGGAAGGAAAGACGGCCUUUGUGCUGUCGCUUAUGGAUGGACCCGCGGCGUAUUAGUUAGUUGGUGAGGUAACGGCUCACCAAGACGAUGAUACGUAGCCGACCUGAGAGGGUGAUCGGCCACAUUGGGACUGAGACACGGCCCAAACUCCUACGGGAGGCAGCAGUAGGGAAUCUUCCGCAAUGGACGAAAGUCUGACGGAGCAACGCCGCGUGAGUGAAGAAAAGGUUUUCGGAUCGUAAAACUCUGUUGUCAGAGAAGAACAAGUUGGAGAGUAACUGCUCCAGCCUUGACGGUAUCUGACCAGAAAGCCACGGCUAACUACGUGCCAGCAGCCGC